RNAcentral lists this long non-coding RNA (2063 nucleotides) under Citrus maxima (pomelo). RNAcentral's name for it is "long non-coding RNA (CMAX_LNC003307)". Lineage: Eukaryota; Viridiplantae; Streptophyta; Magnoliopsida; Sapindales; Rutaceae. The record is from RNAcentral.
UCAAAUUAACUUUAAUGAUAUCAAAUAUCAACAACAUCCCAUUGUAAUAAUUACAUCUCAUGAUAAGUAAUCCAAAAAAUGACACAUCAAUGAAGUUUUUAAGAGUGGGACACUACGUAGUUUUUUUUCCAAGACCUACUCCAAAAUAAUUUGACAGCCAAUGCUUUUUGAAAUUGUGCAACAUCAUCUUGUUGGUAAUAUGAAUUGACAUCAGGUCAGUGGGCCAAGACCUCCAAGAACUGCAACAAAAAUGCUCCACAAUCACCACUAAAAACAUUCAUAUAAAUCAAUCGUUAAAAAUCACCAUUGUUAUUGUUAAGUCGAAAAAAUAUAAUUUCAAUUCGUAGUAAAAAUAAUACUUCAAAUUUAUUAUCACUGUCGUAAUAUAUUAUCAAUCUACUAAAUGAUCACACAACAUAAAAGCAACAGGUAUGAGAACUUUUUACAACUUAAAAAUGUUCUAUAUAUAAGACAACAUGACUUUCUUACAACUAGCAUCUACAAGAUCAGCAUAACUAUAUUAUUUCAAGAACAAACCCAUCAAAUUAAAAUAUAUUGCCAAUAACUAUGAACUCAAAUAAUUUUUAAAUGAGUACUAAACAAAAAUAAGAAAUAAACCAUCACUGCCACAUGACAUAAAAAUCAAACUUUAUGUAUCAAGUAUGUUAACAAUUCCAAAUAAAGUAUAAAUAUUCAAAGAAAAUGUUGAAUUUUUCCAUAACACUCAAACAAUUAAUUUUCAUUAGUUAAAUCUGAUUAAUAAGCUAUUAAGUAUGUGUAUAAUUAUCAAAAACUAAAAACAAGUCUAGGACGAGUGUAUUAAAGGGCAAUUCUCCAAUAGUUAACUAGUUGGAAAUAUAUACAACAACAUUUGCUGCACAAUAAUAUCAAAUCCUAAAUGCUAUGUGACUUCUUCAGUCAAUAGCCUCACAGUGAGACAAAUUAAUAAAAUGAUCCAACAUUGUUUCAAAAUUCACAAGUCGUUCAAAACACAUUUAUUAAUAGUGUACUAUCAAUAGUUUUAUGCUUAAAUAAAUAGCAAAUUGUUAAUAAAUUAGAAUUGCAAAAUAAAGGUUCUAUAGCAAAUAAUAGAGAAAACCCAGAUUGUAGCAUAAUGAAUGCAUACGUAGCUGAAGAAAAUUGAUAUAUAAUUCCCAUGGAUGAAGUUCAACUACAAACAACAAGUAAAAUUAUAUAAAGAUCUAAUGCAUAAACUAGUGUAGCCAUAACCGAGUAUUCAUAAGGAUAAUAUUUGUUUUAUCCAAUUCUCUAUGAAUAUUUAAUUAGGAACUCCCACAACCAUUAUUAAAGAGCCAUGAAAUCACUCUCUUCAAUUUCAAAUCCACAAGUUCAGGAAGCUUCAUUACAUUACCAACAAGAAAGAUUAUCAGUAAAUAAGCAAGAUAAUGACUAAAAUCAUGUGGGUAAUUUGUUUUUUAAAACCCUAAUGCAUAUAACCCUAACAAUUAUGCACCAUAAAUUCUCUUUAUAAAGUAAAAAUCAAGUGUAAAUGUGGUUAAUGACCUUUAGUUCGGUAAAUUUCCAGCCUUUAAUUCGGUGAUUUUGUAACCUUUAAUGUGGUGGAUGAACUUGCAGCAGCAGGAGCAUGAACUUGCAACAGCAGGCGUUGUGUAUGGUAGCUCGUGAAGGUAGAUUUUGAAAUUUGAAGAAUUAAAUUAGGGUAAUUCUGUAAUUGCACAUUGAAAAAGGUAUAUAAAAGAAAUUUUAAAUUAUGGGGAUGUAGUUGGAUAAAUACCUAACCUUUUAGGGUAUGGCGGGGACAAAUCCCUGUCUGUCCUGCACAGGCCAAAUCCUUUCGUUAUCAUCUUUACAAAAGCAAACGCCCUCCACAUUUUGUGCUCUGCUUCUUCUCCAUGGAUUCCGCCAACGCAUCAUCAGAAGUCGCCCAUGACUUCUCUCCUUUGAUAAAAGUACACAAAGACGGCAAAGUAGAAAGGCUUAGGGGCACCGAUAUCGUUCCCCCAUCACUUGAUCCCAAAACAAACGUUGAUUCCAAAGACGUUGUGUAUUCUCCUGAAAAUAAUUUAUCUGCUCGGCUUUAC